AUUAACAUAGUUUGUUAACCCACGUCACGUCAUGUCUUUUUUUUUGUCAUCCGAAAAUUAAUUAGGGCUCAAACGAGCCAAUCCUGAAGAAUGAUGUUUACAUAUGUAAUAUGAAGCGGUUGGGUACAAAUUUUUCGUGCCAAAAUAUCUGGUUUAAUAUUAGCACUACGAGAGAUGAAAGAUAGAGAAAAGCUUGUGAACUCAUCCUUGUCGCUCUGUAACUCUUCCAAAUAUGAUGAGAAAGUCGGCUAUAGCACUUAACGUCAUGUCUAAUAUGACUAAUUCAACGAAAGUUUGGUAUUUAUUUGGAAAGUCAACAUAAAUUUGAUAUUUAUUUCAUUUUGUCGUGAAUUGAGUAUUUAAGUUAACGUUUUCAAUAAGUUGAGAACUUUAAAGACAUUUUCCCCGUUUUUUGAACUGUUGGACUUGAUUUUGUUUUUCAUCGAUUUAUAU
RNAcentral lists this small RNA (453 nucleotides) under Arabidopsis thaliana (thale cress). Its description in RNAcentral is "ATSL082780". The record is from RNAcentral. Lineage: Eukaryota; Viridiplantae; Streptophyta; Magnoliopsida; Brassicales; Brassicaceae.